UAAUUUUAGGACAAGUCUGAUAACUCAGU
This 29-nucleotide non-coding RNA is filed under the name Rattus norvegicus (Norway rat). The record is from RNAcentral. Lineage: Eukaryota; Metazoa; Chordata; Mammalia; Rodentia; Muridae.